RNAcentral lists this small RNA (162 nucleotides) under Paenibacillus sp. Its description in RNAcentral is "c-di-AMP sequence". It matches the Rfam family "c-di-AMP riboswitch aptamer (ydaO/yuaA leader)". From Rfam's summary of the family: This family represents a conserved RNA structure found upstream of the ydaO and yuaA genes in Bacillus subtilis and related genes in other bacteria. Lineage: Bacteria; Bacillati; Bacillota; Bacilli; Caryophanales; Paenibacillaceae. The record is from RNAcentral.
AGACAAAAAAUGCCGAAUCUCAGAGCAUCGAAAGCUCUGGUACGGGGGACUUCUUUACUUGGGGUGAAUGAUGCUCAGUUAGCCAUAGGCUAAUGGGGCGUACUAGGGAAAACCUCUUCCCGAACCCGUCAACUAACCUCGGAGGCUUCAAGGAGGCACAAC